Cyanistes caeruleus (blue tit) is the source of this 537-nucleotide non-coding RNA. Lineage: Eukaryota; Metazoa; Chordata; Aves; Passeriformes; Paridae. The record is from RefSeq and is a predicted model, not a curated record.
UUUCUACUCGCUGGCUUAGAACGACACCAUCUGGCUAAAACACCAAGCCGGUUUAAUCACAAACACUGAUUCAUUCAAUCUCAGCCUCAGCAGUUUCCUACGGCAAGCAAGGAAUAAACCUGGUAACUGCUACCUGGAUGAUCUCCAGGGAGAUAGAUCCUCAGGUGCAGGUUAUCAACACAUCUUUGUCUCAUAUCAGAAGGGAGAAGAAGAUGGGCAAGUGCUGAGGCCCAGAAAAUGCCUAUCAGACAACUUCUCUGGGGAGUCCCAUGGCAGGAAAUCUUCACACUGCAGGUACAGAGGAGGAGUGUUAGCACUGCUGUGGACAGAAUGAGCCAGAUGGGAAAUGCAGCACCACCAUGUUACACCAUGGUUAAGUGGAGAAUGGAGCAUCCGCAAUGCCAGGGAUGUUCUAAACAACUUCUGAAAGUUGAACACUGUGCCCUUGUUGAAAGCCAUCAAACUCCAUCCAGAGAGUUUCAUCUCUCACAAUCUAUGGCAUCACUUCAAGACCUUCCAUAAAUCAACUUCAACACA